UACACUCCUGCGGGAGGCAGCAGUGGGGAAUAUUGCACAAUGGGCGCAAGCCUGAUGCAGCCAUGCCGCGUGUAUGAAGAAGGCCUUCGGGUUGUAAAGUACUUUCAGCGGGGAGGAAGGCGAUAAGGUUAAUAACCUUGUUGAUUGACGUUACCCGCAGAAGAAGCACCGGCUAACUCCGUGCCAGCAGCCGCGGUAAUACGGAGGGUGCAAGCGUUAAUCGGAAUUACUGGGCGUAAAGCGCACGCAGGCGGUCUGUCAAGUCGGAUGUGAAAUCCCCGGGCUCAACCUGGGAACUGCAUUCGAAACUGGCAGGCUAGAGUCUUGUAGAGGGGGGUAGAAUUCCAGGUGUAGCGGUGAAAUGCGUAGAGAUCUGGAGGAAUACCGGUGGCGAAGGCGGCCCCCUGGACAAAGACUGACGCUCAGGUGCGAAAGCGUGGGGAGCAAACAGGAUUAGAUACCCGUGUAGUCCCA
This 474-nucleotide ribosomal RNA is filed under the name uncultured organism. RNAcentral's name for it is "partial 16S ribosomal RNA". It matches the Rfam family "Bacterial small subunit ribosomal RNA", at positions 332 to 797 of the family's 1533-position model. The record is from RNAcentral.